This 401-nucleotide ribosomal RNA is filed under the name Pedinellales sp. RNAcentral's name for it is "partial small subunit ribosomal RNA". It matches the Rfam family "Eukaryotic small subunit ribosomal RNA", at positions 582 to 975 of the family's 1831-position model. Lineage: Eukaryota; Dictyochophyceae; Pedinellales. The record is from RNAcentral.
AUUCCAGCUCCAAUAGCGUAUAUUAAAGUUGUUGUGGUUAAAAAGCUCGUAGUUGGAUUUCUGGUUGGACCGCGAUGCCGGACUCGCAAGGGUUCGUGAUUGUUGUGGUUUCCUUCCAUCCUCAGGUUUGCGCGUGCUGGCCUUAACUGGUCGGUGGGUGUGGUCCUGUCGUUUACUGUGAACAAAUUAGAGUGUUCAAAGCAAGGUGUACUUGAAUACAUUAGCAUGGAAUAAUAAGAUAGGACUUUGGUGGUUCUUUUUGAUAUUUUGUUGGUUUGCACGCCAAAGUAAUGAUUAAUAGGAGCAGUUGGGGGUAUUCGUAUUCAAUUGUCAGAGGUGAAAUUCUUGGAUUUAUAGAAGACGAACUACUGCGAAAGCAUUUACCAAGGAUGUUUUCAUCG